GCAUGCGAGUCGAGAGGGUUCGGCCCUCGGCAGACGGCUCAGUAACACGUGGAUAAUCUGCCCUUAGGUGGAGGAUAACCUCGGGAAACUGAGAAUAAUACUCCAUAGAUCUAGGAUGCUGGAAUGCACUUAGAUCAAAAGCUCCGGCGCCUAAGGAUGAGUCUGCGGACUAUCAGGUUGUAGUCAGGGUAAAGACCUGACUAGCCUACGACGGAUACGGGUUGUGAGAGCAAUAACCCGGAGAUGAUAUCUGAGACACGAUAUCAGGCCCUACGGGGCGCAGCAGGCGCGAAAACUUCACACUGCGCGAAAGCGCGAUGAGGGAAUCCCAAGUGCUUGCACGUAAGUGUAAGCUGUUUCUUUGUUUAAAACGCAUUGAGAGUAAGAGCUGGGUAAGACGGGUGCCAGCCGCCGCGGUAAUACCUGCAGCUCAAGUGGUGGUCGCUAUUAUUGGGCCUAAAACGUCCGUAGCCGGUUUAGUAAAUGCUUGGGUAAAUUGUGUAGCUUAACUAUACGAAUACCGAGUAGACUGCUAAACUUGGGACCGGGAGAGGCUAGAGGUACUCCUAGGGUAGAGGUGAAAUUCUGUAAUCCUAGGGGGACCACCAGUGGCGAAGGCGUCUAGCUAGAACGGGUCCGACGGUGAGGGACGAAGCCUAGGGGAACAAACCGGAUUAGAUACCCGGGUAGUCCUAGGUGUAAACGCUGCAGGCUUGGUGUUGGGGGUCUUGCGAGGGCGCCCAGUGCCGGAGAGAAGUUGUUAAGCCUGCCGCUUGGGGAGUACGAUCGCAAGAUUGAAACUUAA
Molecule: ribosomal RNA, 805 nt
Filed under: uncultured euryarchaeote
Lineage: Archaea; Methanobacteriati; Methanobacteriota
Description: bacterial SSU rRNA
Rfam family: Archaeal small subunit ribosomal RNA
Source: RNAcentral